Molecule: long non-coding RNA, 498 nt
Filed under: Rosa chinensis
Lineage: Eukaryota; Viridiplantae; Streptophyta; Magnoliopsida; Rosales; Rosaceae
Description: sRNA RchiOBHm_Chr5g0040751
Source: RNAcentral
UGUGCCCCAGCAUUGUCUGAUAGUUGUUGACUUGUUGUCGUCUUUCAGAUCAGUUGAGCAGCACCGUUUCGCCACCAAAAAACAACACCGUUUGAUUCUGUUGUUCCCCAUUCUUUCAAAUUCAUCAUUCUCCAAUGUUAUCUCAAUACUGUUACUCUACUUGGUUCUCUAUGCUUAGUAAUAAAUGUGAGUUGAUGUGGUAGUAUUAGUGACUUGGUUUUCAAGUGGGAAAUCAUCUGCAUGUAAAAUGUAUGUGGCCAGAUCAUUGGCCUGUAAUUUGGUUGCAACCCUCUUCAUUCUUCAAAUCAAUAUUUUUUUUUGGAAUAAACAUUAAUUAUUAUGCAUUUCUCACUUAAGGAAAGUAUUCUUUUUCUUUUUACUAUACUUCUCUUUAUUAUUUACAUGUACACUAUAACUUAAAUUGUUCCUGAGUUCACUAUGUAUUGCUGCAGUAUUUGGACGAGAACAAGUCAUUGAUUCUGAAGAUUGUUGAGAGCC